AUACGGAGGGUGCAAGCGUUGUUCGGAAUUAUUGGGCGUAAAGAGCAUGUAGGCGGACUGUUAAGUCUGGUGUGAAAGCCCGGGGCUCAACCCCGGAAGUGCAUUGGAUACUGGCGAACUUGAGUACGGGAGAGGAAAGUGGAAUUUCGAGUGUAGGGGUGAAAUCCGUAGAUAUUCGAAGGAACACCAGUGGCGAAGGCGGCUUUCUGGACCGAUACUGACGCUGAGAUGCGAAAGCGUGGGGAGCAAACAGGAUUAGAAACCCUAGUAGUCC
Molecule: ribosomal RNA, 274 nt
Filed under: uncultured bacterium
Lineage: Bacteria
Description: partial 16S ribosomal RNA
Rfam family: Bacterial small subunit ribosomal RNA
Source: RNAcentral